UUGGAUGGCCUCAGUAAGUCAAAGAGUAGCAUACCCAAUUGGUUGAUGAUAGAAGGAAGAACAUCUUGUAGCUCUGUCAAGUCAAACCAUGAAUUUAAUAAGUAAUCACGAAGACAACAACAUAUUAGGAUACACACGGGUUUUUGUAGCAGACAUGUCAGGAAGGGAAAACCAAAGUGCAUAGCUUCAUAUUACAAAGGCUAAUCAGGUGCACACAGAGAUGAGUAGG
RNAcentral lists this long non-coding RNA (229 nucleotides) under Hordeum vulgare. RNAcentral describes it as "long non-coding RNA (HVUL_LNC007110)". The record is from RNAcentral. Lineage: Eukaryota; Viridiplantae; Streptophyta; Magnoliopsida; Poales; Poaceae.